RNAcentral lists this ribosomal RNA (835 nucleotides) under uncultured organism. RNAcentral's name for it is "bacterial SSU rRNA". It matches the Rfam family "Bacterial small subunit ribosomal RNA", at positions 48 to 901 of the family's 1533-position model. The record is from RNAcentral.
CUUAUGCAUGCAGUCGAACGAUGAGGCCCUACGGGGGUACAUCAGUGGCAGACGGGUGAGUAACACGUAGGUAACCUGCCCUCGAGACGGGGAUAACGGCUGGAAACGGUCGCUAAGACCCGAUAUAGUCUGACCUUCGGGAGAAGGUGAGAGGAAAGGCUUCGGUGCUCGGGGAGGGGCCUGCGGCCCAUCAGCUAGUUGGAGAGGUAACGGCUCCCCAAGGCAAUGACGGGUAGGGGGUGUGAGAGCAUGGCCCCCCACACUGGGACUGAGACACGGCCCAGACUCCUACGGGAGGCAGCAGCAGGGAAUAUUGCGCAAUGGACGGAAGUCUGACGCAGCGACGCCGCGUGGAUGAUGAAGGCCUUCGGGUUGUAAAAUCCUUUUCCGGGCGAUGAGGAAGGACACUAGCCUGGGAAUAAGCGUCGGCUAACUACGUGCCAGCAGCCGCGGUAAGACGUAGGACGCGAGCGUUAUCCGGAUUUACUGGGCGUAAAGCGCCUGCAGGCGGUCAGGUAAGUCGGUUGUGAAAGCCCCGUGCUCAACGCGGGGAGGCCAAGCGAUACUGCGUGACUUGAGGGCGGAAGAGGGGAGUGGAAUUCCCGGUGUAGCGGUAAAAUGCGCAGAUAUCGGGAGGAACACCAGUGGCGAAGUCGGCUCCCUGGACCGCACCUGACGCUCAGAGGCGAAAGCCUAGGGGAGCGAACAGGAUUAGAGACCCUGGUAGUCCUAGCCCUAAACGCUGGAUGCUAGGUGUAGGGCUGAUGAGGCUCUGUGCCGGAGCGAACGUGAUAAGGCAAUCCCGCCUGGGAACUACGGCCGCAAGGCUAAAACU